RNAcentral lists this ribosomal RNA (1125 nucleotides) under Rhizophagus intraradices. Its description in RNAcentral is "partial large subunit ribosomal RNA". It matches the Rfam family "Bacterial large subunit ribosomal RNA", at positions 732 to 1865 of the family's 2925-position model. The record is from RNAcentral. Lineage: Eukaryota; Fungi; Glomeromycota; Glomeromycetes; Glomerales; Glomeraceae.
UGCCAUGGCCUAGUGCUAUUUAAUAAGACUGAACGGGUGUCCGUUGCAAGGGACUCCGAAGAGCUGUGGCAAGGGGUGAAAAGCCAAUCUAACCUGGAGAUAGCUGGUCUUCUGCGAAACCCGUUUUAGCGGGUCGCCCAUUUAUUGAAAUUAAAUUCGUUACUAGACGGUACGGCACUGGAAGCCACGCAGCUUUUGCUGCAUAAUCGGGGGGCUGUCAUGGCUCUAUCGAUGGCUUCUAACCCCGGAAAUGUAUAGUAUACAAUGAUGGGCAAUCAGACGUAUCGUGAUAAGGCGAUUCGUCAAAAGGGCAACAGCCCAGAACAGGUGUGAAGGUCCCCAACAAGCUACUGAGUGAACACAAGGCAGUCCUCUCCAGUGUCUCUCCACAAAGUGGGCUUGGGAGCAGCCACCUUUUAGCGAUAGCGUAACAGCUCAGUGGUCUGAGCCUCCCUGUAAAAAGGGAAUAUUGCCUGGUGAGGGCGCCAAAAAUGUAACGGGUCUAUAGUAGUUGUCUCUCUGUUCCAGCUUUGGAUAUGGAGGGAGUGGCAGUUUCUUCACUGUCUCACCGAAACCCUGUCCUAGAUGUAAAAUUCUAGGGGUAGCAGAAUACCCAGCAAAUGGAAUGAAGCUUGCUCAUUGAGCCGGUGGACAUAGCUGGGCUAAGAAUGCCGACAUGAGUAGCCUAAAAGGAGGGUAAUUCCCUCUUCGCCGAAAGCAGAAGGGUUUCAUUUGUAAGGUCUAUACCUAGAUGAUUAAAGCAGCGGCCUCUAAGGUUCAGAGUAACAAAUUAGUUCCGAUGAGUAACUCUUCUAUAGGGCAGUAACCUUCCUUAUAAGUUUACCUUCAAGUAAUUAGAGGUAUACUUCAAAGAGUAAGGUUCGGGAAAGAGCCCUACAGAAUCAAUCUUAAAACCGUACCCUAAACCGACACAGGUCUGCAAGUAGAGCAUACUAAGGCGUAGAGAUAAUCGUCUUGAAGGAACUCGGCAAAAUGACCCCGUAACUUCGGGAGAAGGGGUGCCACUAAUAAGUGACGGCACUAAACAGGGGGGCGCGACUGUUUACUUAAAACACCGGACUCUGCUAACACUAGCGUGGAUGUAUAGAGUCUGAUACCUGCCCG